AUCAAGGCUGAGGCGUGAUGACGAGGCACUACGGUGCUGAAGCAACAAAUGCCCUGCUUCCAGGAAAAGCCUCUAAGCAUCAGGUAACAUCAAAUCGUACCCCAAACCGACACAGGUGGUCAGGUAGAGAAUACCAAGGCGCUUGAGAGAACUCGGGUGAAGGAACUAGGCAAAAUGGUGCCGUAACUUCGGGAGAAGGCACGCUGAUAUGUAGGUGAAGCGACUUGCUCGUGGAGCUGAAAUCAGUCGAAGAUACCAGCUGGCUGCAACUGUUUAUUAAAAACACAGCACUGUGCAAACACGAAAGUGGACGUAUACGGUGUGACGCCUGCCCGGUGCCGGAAGGUUAAUUGAUGGGGUCAGCCGCAAGGCGAAGCUCUUGAUCGAAGCCCCGGUAAACGGCGGCCGUAACUAUAACGGUCCUAAGGUAGCGAAAUUCCUUGUCGGGUAAGUUCCGACCUGCACGAAUGGCGUAAUGAUGGCCAGGCUGUCUCCACCCGAGACUCAGUGAAAUUGAACUCGCUGUGAAGAUGCAGUGUACCCGCGGCAAGACGGAAAGACCCCGUGAACCUUUACUAUAGCUUGACACUGAACAUUGAGCCUUGAUGUGUAGGAUAGGUGGGAGGCUUUGAAGUGUGGACGCCAGUCUGCAUGGAGCCGACCUUGAAAUACCACCCUUUAAUGUUUGAUGUUCUAACGUGGACCCGUGAUCCGGGUUGCGGACAGUGUCUGGUGGGUAGUUUGACUGGGGCGGUCUCCUCCUAAAGAGUAACGGAGGAGCACGAAGGUUGGCUAAUCCUGGUCGGACAUCAGGAGGUUAGUGCAAUGGCAUAAGCCAGCUUGACUGCGAGCGUGACGGCGCGAGCAGGUGCGAAAGCAGGUCAUAGUGAUCCGGUGGUUCUGAAUGGAAGGGCCAUCGCUCAACGGAUAAAAGGUACUCCGGGGAUAACAGGCUGAUACCGCCCAAGAGUUCAUAUCGACGGCGGUGUUUGGCACCUCGAUGUCGGCUCAUCACAUCCUGGGGCUGAAGUAGGUCCCAAGGGUAUGGCUGUUCGCCAUUUAAAGUGGUACGCGAGCUGGGUUUAGAACGUCGUGAGACAGUUCGGUCCCUAUCUGCCGUGGGCGCUGGAGAACUGAGGGGGGCUGCUCCUAGUACGAGAGGACCGGAGUGGACGCAUCACUGGUGUUCGGGUUGUCAUGCCAAUGGCACUGCCCGGUAGCUAAAUGCGGAAGAGAUAAGUGCUGAAAGCAUCUAAGCACGAAACUUGCCCCGAGAUGAGUUCUCCCUGAGACUUUAAGUCUCCUGAAGGAACGUUGAAGACGACGACGUUGAUAGGCCGGGUGUGUAAGCGCAGCGAUGCGUUGAGCUAACCGGUACUAAUGAACCGUGAGGCUUAACCUUACAACGCCGAAG
This 1414-nucleotide ribosomal RNA is filed under the name Escherichia coli. RNAcentral describes it as "partial 23S ribosomal RNA". It matches the Rfam family "Bacterial large subunit ribosomal RNA", at positions 1549 to 2925 of the family's 2925-position model. The record is from RNAcentral. Lineage: Bacteria; Pseudomonadati; Pseudomonadota; Gammaproteobacteria; Enterobacterales; Enterobacteriaceae.